Arachis ipaensis is the source of this 1177-nucleotide non-coding RNA. NCBI's taxonomy places the organism in Eukaryota, Viridiplantae, Streptophyta, Magnoliopsida, Fabales, Fabaceae. The record is from RefSeq and is a predicted model, not a curated record.
UGAAACCAUUCGUCGGGGACACAUGUCAUCGCAGCGGGAAGAUGGUGAUUCCACGUAUACCCCCGCGUCAUCAAAAGGAGGUGGAGGCUCAAGUUGUUCUUCACGGAGGCGUCCAACAAGCAACAGAAUAACAAGGUCGCCGUCGAGGUUUGGUUUCUCCGAACCGCCGGUCAGUGUCCGUCCUUGGUUGCCGACGCAGUCCGAAUCGACGCAUUCGUGUGCCAGGCGAGCAACCCCAGCCCAUUCAAACAGCUUACCUCAGCGAACCAAUGUCGAUCCAGGCCAGUCCCUUGCCGGUACUGGAUCCUCCUGUGCCCGUGUUGCAAACGAUUGCAGCCCAAUCGUACUGAGUGUUGUCACCAGCGUGUCCGGCCUAAAUAAAGAAAUUCGAAGGCUCACCGAAUGCAUAUGCUGACACAAUCAGGUCGUGACAGACUUUUAGAAGGCGUUGACUAUGUUGGCGAAGAUUUAGGAUAGGGAGCAAUAGUGUGACCGGAAAAAUGGAGUCAGGUGCCCGUGUUGGAAUGGGAUCCCGUCAAAGCGGCGGCUACGACCAGAGGAUUUUCAACAAGAUGAUCUUAUUUCUCAGGAAACGGACCCGUCGCAGCACCAUGAUCCGACCUAUGCGCCGACGCUGGAUGCAAACUUUAGCAUGGAUCAUAUGCCUUUCAGAUCCAAGAGGUCUAAGAGAGCCCCUCGCAAUCGGCGAUCCGCCCGAGACAAGACGCAGCCGAAAAUACCCCAUAACUUGGUUGAUCUAACCGGCGAACGAGAAUGGCAGAGUCGACGUCCUCAUCAUCCACGUAGCAAGUUGCCGCGGCGCUCUAACUGCCUACAGAAGCACUACAAUUACCUCACCCUGGUUUGUAGCGACGGAGUUGUGCACGAGUCGGCUCUUUUAUGCAUGAAUGCGGACAAGAUCCCCAAGGCUUUCAACCUAGCCUUCGUACCAACACGGAGCAUGGACCUCACAGGGGUUGAGCUUGCUGUUAAUAGCAAGGAUCAUCCGAAGAGUGAAAUUCUGGCUGACGUUGAUCACUGUGUUGCGGAUAGAACAUCAUUAUUAACGCUUGGCCCAAAUUAAAGAGUCAUGGAUGACGUUAUUACUAUCGUGGCAACGAUGUUGUCGAAGACCUCCAGUCAGCACCAGUGGUUCAUGCCGACUAUGAUCAGGGUG